This 253-nucleotide ribosomal RNA is filed under the name uncultured bacterium. RNAcentral describes it as "partial 16S ribosomal RNA". It matches the Rfam family "Bacterial small subunit ribosomal RNA", at positions 524 to 776 of the family's 1533-position model. The record is from RNAcentral.
UACAGAGGUCCCAAGCGUUGUUCGGAUUCACUGGGCGUAAAGGGUGCGUAGGUGGCUGGGUAAGUUUGAUGUGAAAUCUCCGGGCUCAACCCGGAAAAUGCAUUGAAUACUAUCCAGCUAGAGGUUUGGAGGGGGGACUGGAAUUCUUGGUGUAGCAGUGAAAUGCGUAGAUAUCAAGAGGAACACCAGUGGCGAAGGCGAGUCCCUGGACAAAUCCUGACACUGAGGCACGAAAGCUAGGGGAGCAAACAGG